ACUCCUACGGGAGGCAGCAGUGGGGAAUUUUGCGCAAUGGGGGAAACCCUGACGCAGCAACGCCGCGUGGAGGAUGAAGUCCCUUGGGAUGUAAACUCCUUCGACCGGGAAGAUAUGACGUAC
This 123-nucleotide ribosomal RNA is filed under the name uncultured soil bacterium. RNAcentral's name for it is "partial 16S small subunit ribosomal RNA". It matches the Rfam family "Bacterial small subunit ribosomal RNA", at positions 335 to 458 of the family's 1533-position model. The record is from RNAcentral.